GUUGAUGAUGUAGCUGUUCAGUUGAGGCUUCCCAGUAUUGUUCUUCGUACUUUUAGUGCUGCAUAUUUGCACUCUAUGAUCACCAUUCUUCAGCAACCAGAAAAAUAUUUUCCUUUUGAAGGUAUGAUGAAAGCAGACACAUCUGUUGCAUGAUUUAGUCGAAAAAUCAUUUCAAAUUCAAAACCAUAACAACAACUAAGCUUGUUUGCCGUUCAUAGUCAGCAUCUAAGGACAACAAUAUAUGACAAAAAUAAUUGUAAGUACUAGCAGUAAUAGGGCCAAAAGGCUCCUAGAAAACAUAGGGCCUAAAGUAAACAUAUUAACAUGACUGAGAUAUAUUCUCCACUAAUUAUAGUUUAGACUAUAGAAUUUUUCUUUCCUUAUGUUCCAACUUUCAUUGUUGAAAAAAAUUAGAAUCAAGAAGAAGGGUAACUUUCUGAAACAAUAACUAUUAAUUGAGUGACCAUGUGAGAAAUCAACCAAAUAUCUUUCACUAAGUCUACAUUGAUUACUCAAUUCAAUCGCAGAUUCUCAGCUGCUGGAUCCGUUACCGGAGCUUCAUCCCCUCAGGUUCAAGGAUGUACCAUUUUCUGUCGUCAAUAAUACAGUUCCAGAACCGAUUCUAGACUUCUGUAGAGUAAUGAUCGAUACAGGAUCAUCUGUUGCGACUGUUUGUAAUACGAUGCAAGACUUGGAGAAUUCAUUGUUGUUACGCCUUCAAGAACAUUACAAGGUGCCCUUCUUUCCAAUAGGCCCUCUUCACAAAAUGGCGCCUAUGACCUUGUCGACUAGCAUACUAGAAGAAGACAACAGCUGCAUCGAGUGGCUCGACAGACAAGCUCCUAACUCUGUUCUCUAUGUCAGCUUGGGUAGCCUAGCGAGGAUUGAUGACACAGAGCUAAUUGAGACUGCUUGGGGAUUAGCCAACAGUGAUCAACCGUUCUUGUGGGUUAUUAGACCUGGCUCUGUCUCUGGCUUUCAAUGUGCUGAGGCACUGCCCGAUUAUUAUGAGAAAAUGGUAGGAGAAAGAGGCCGAAUAGUGAAAUGGGCACCGCAAAAACAGGUACUUGCACAUCCCGCGGUCGCAGGCUUUUUCACGCAUUGUGGUUGGAAUUCCACGCUUGAAGCUAUUUUGGAAGAAGUCCCUCUGUUGUGCAGGCCUAUUCUAGGUGACCAACCAGUGAACGCGAGGUAUCUGAGCCAAAUAUAUAAGGUUGGGUUCGAAUUGGAGGUGUUCGAGAGAACAAUUAUAGAGAAAACAGUAAGAAAACUCAUGUUGAGUGAAGAAGGCAAAGAUCUGAAGAAAAGGAUAAUAGACAUGAAACAAAGCAUAGUUGCUGGUAUGCAGACUGAUGGUACUUCACAUAAGAACCUGAAUGAUUUGGUAGACUUCAUUUCUGCCUUGCCAUCACGGCUCGCUCCUCCAACGCCUGUCGUUGGGACAGUCA
This 1448-nucleotide long non-coding RNA is filed under the name Capsicum annuum. RNAcentral describes it as "long non-coding RNA (CANN_LNC016240)". The record is from RNAcentral. Lineage: Eukaryota; Viridiplantae; Streptophyta; Magnoliopsida; Solanales; Solanaceae.